GACGAACGCUGGCGGCGCGCCUAACACAUGCAAGUCGAGCGGAGAUAUUUGAAGGAAGUUUUCGGAUGGAAUUUGGGCAUUUUAGCGGCGGACGGGUGAGUAACGCGUGAGUGACCUGCCUUCCACAGGGGGAUAACGUACCGAAAGGUACACUAAUACCGCAUGAGACCACAGCACUGCCUGGUGCAGGGGUCAAAGGAGCAAUCCGGUGGAAGAUGGGCUCGCGUCCGAUUAGAUAGUUGGUGGGGUAACGGCCUACCAAGUCAGCGAUCGGUAGCCGACCUGAGAGGGUGAUCGGCCACAUUGGAACUGAGAGACGGUCCAAACUCCUACGGGAGGCAGCAGUGGGGAAUAUUGGGCAAUGGGGGAAACCCUGACCCAGCGACGCCGCGUGAGGGAAGAAGGUUUUCGGAUUAUAAACCUCUGUUCUUGGUGAAGAGGGAAAGACGGUAACCAAGGAGGAAGCCCCGGCUAACUACGUGCCAGCCGCCGCGGUAA
Molecule: ribosomal RNA, 498 nt
Filed under: uncultured bacterium
Lineage: Bacteria
Description: partial 16S ribosomal RNA
Rfam family: Bacterial small subunit ribosomal RNA
Source: RNAcentral